CAGUAGCCGCGGUAAAACGAAGGGUGCAAGCGUUACUCGGAAUUACUGGGCGUAAAGGGUGCGUAGGUGGUUUUUUAAGUCCGUUGUGAAAUCCCUGGGCUCAACCUGGGGAUGGCAGUGGGUACUGGAAAGCUAGAGUGCGGUAGAGGGUAGUGGAAUUCCCGGUGUAGCAGUGAAAUGCGUAGAGAUCGGGAGGAACACCAGUGGCGAAGGCGGCUACCUGGACCAGCACUGACACUGAAGCACGAAAGCGUGGGGAGCAAACAGGAUUAGAUACCCCUGUAGUCCCUGUCUCUUAUAA
This 301-nucleotide ribosomal RNA is filed under the name uncultured bacterium. RNAcentral describes it as "partial 16S ribosomal RNA". It matches the Rfam family "Bacterial small subunit ribosomal RNA", at positions 509 to 809 of the family's 1533-position model. The record is from RNAcentral.